GGGUUGUGAGGUUAAGCGACUAAGCGUACACGGUGGAUGCCCUGGCAGUCAGAGGCGAUGAAGGACGUGCUAAUCUGCGAUAAGCGUCGGUAAGGUGAUAUGAACCGUUAUAACCGGCGAUUUCCGAAUGGGGAAACCCAGUGUGUUUCGACACACUAUCAUUAACUGAAUCCAUAGGUUAAUGAGGCGAACCGGGGGAACUGAAACAUCUAAGUACCCCGAGGAAAAGAAAUCAACCGAGAUUCCCCCAGUAGCGGCGAGCGAACGGGGAGCAGCCCAGAGCCUGAAUCAGUGUGUGUGUUAGUGGAAGCGUCUGGAAAGGCGCGCGAUACAGGGUGACAGCCCCGUACACAAAAAUGCACAUAUUGUGAGCUCGAUGAGUAGGGCGGGACACGUGGUAUCCUGUCUGAAUAUGGGGGGACCAUCCUCCAAGGCUAAAUACUCCUGACUGACCGAUAGUGAACCAGUACCGUGAGGGAAAGGCGAAAAGAACCCCGGCGAGGGG
RNAcentral lists this ribosomal RNA (505 nucleotides) under Enterobacteriaceae bacterium 8376wB8. RNAcentral's name for it is "partial 23S ribosomal RNA". It matches the Rfam family "Bacterial large subunit ribosomal RNA", at positions 1 to 536 of the family's 2925-position model. Lineage: Bacteria; Pseudomonadati; Pseudomonadota; Gammaproteobacteria; Enterobacterales; Enterobacteriaceae. The record is from RNAcentral.